This is a small nucleolar RNA of Rhineura floridana, 131 nucleotides long. Lineage: Eukaryota; Metazoa; Chordata; Lepidosauria; Squamata; Rhineuridae. The record is from RefSeq and is a predicted model, not a curated record.
AUGCACAUGUCAUUGACCUGCUUCCUUUCCAUUGGCAAGCAGUGUUAUUUCUGAUGUGCUACAGGAACAGUUGAAGGCUAAUUAGCAGCUUUACUCAUUUAGUGACUGCUGCCAGUCUCCUUCAUACAUAG